RNAcentral lists this ribosomal RNA (429 nucleotides) under uncultured bacterium. RNAcentral's name for it is "bacterial SSU rRNA". It matches the Rfam family "Bacterial small subunit ribosomal RNA", at positions 355 to 776 of the family's 1533-position model. The record is from RNAcentral.
UGAGGAAUAUUGCACAAUGGGCGAAAGCCUGAUGCAGCGACACCGCGUGAAGGAUGAAGGUCUUAGGAUUGUAAACUUCUGUUAAGUGGGAAAAAAGACUUGCUCCAAAUAAGAGUAAGGGAUGAUGGUACCACUAGAGAAAGCACCGGCUAACUUCGUGCCAGCAGCCGCGGUAAUACGAGGGGUGCAAACGUUAUUCGGAAUUACUGGGUGUAAAGGGUAUGUAGACGGCAUUUUAAGUCAAUUGUUAAAUUCCCCAGCUUAACUGGGGGUCAGCGGUUGAAACUAAAAAGCUAGAGUAUGGAAGAGAGAAGUGGAAUUCUCGGAGUAGCGGUAAAAUGCGUAGAUCUCGAGAGGAACACCGAUGGCGAAGGCAGCUUCUUGGUCCAUUACUGACGUUGAGAUACGAAAGCGUGGGGAGCAAACAGG